Molecule: long non-coding RNA, 610 nt
Filed under: Vigna radiata
Lineage: Eukaryota; Viridiplantae; Streptophyta; Magnoliopsida; Fabales; Fabaceae
Description: long non-coding RNA (VRAD_LNC015643)
Source: RNAcentral
UGAUGCUUUUACCGACAUGCGUCUAAUUGUUUUCCAUCAUUUUUUAUUCACCUAAAAGCUCAGCGCGACAUGUAGUACUUCAAAACAAGUGUAAACAAAAAUUACGAAUGAGACCACAGAUUACAACAAGCUUUAAAGACAAUGUCGAUAUCCCUUAAUAGCGUUCCCUAUCACAGAAUCAUCGUACAUAGAACUUUUUGACCGUAUCGGAAUUAACCGGUGACGGUAACUCCUCUCCAUACAUCCAUUUGAGAAUUAGUGCCCCACCAAAGAAUGCUUUUGUUCACCGCGGGCGGCCUUUCGUAGUUCGGAGUCCAUUUACGUCUAAUCUUUUUGAAUGGGCAAAAUAUUUUUCUAAUGCCGGCCCGCCCUCAUCAAACUCCCUUGAAUGCUUCUUUUGUCGAAUGCCUUCUUCAUUCUUCCUUGGUACAGUUGUUCAUGACACAUGACUGUUGACCCUUUUUUUUUUCAACGAGACUGGGUUGGUCGUAUUAGGCUUGAACCUACUCAGUUUCCUCUAACUGGGUUUCCAUUAACAUCCCAUCUUCCUGGUGGGGUUUUAUCUCUGUAGACCCUCGUUCCACUAAUCUCAAAGUUUUGGAGAGGGUUU